CUACACUAUUUACAAAGAAGAGAGCGUGGGAAAGUGGAAAAACAGUAUGACACACAAGCAUACGUACACAUACAACUUCACAUGCACUCAAACAGUUGUACAAAAGAAGGUAGACAUCAUCUCUCAAACUCUAACGACACAACCUCUAUUUAUACCAUAACUGAGACACACACUCCAAUUCACACCACCAAUCCAUACGUCUCACACGUGAACAUCCCCUCCCAAUCCUUCUCUAGGCAUGCUACCCAAUCACAUUAGACAAAGAGAA
RNAcentral lists this long non-coding RNA (268 nucleotides) under Actinidia chinensis (golden kiwifruit). RNAcentral's name for it is "long non-coding RNA (ACHI_LNC009034)". Lineage: Eukaryota; Viridiplantae; Streptophyta; Magnoliopsida; Ericales; Actinidiaceae. The record is from RNAcentral.